RNAcentral lists this ribosomal RNA (253 nucleotides) under uncultured bacterium. RNAcentral's name for it is "partial 16S ribosomal RNA". It matches the Rfam family "Bacterial small subunit ribosomal RNA", at positions 524 to 776 of the family's 1533-position model. The record is from RNAcentral.
UACGGGGGGCGCAAGCGUUGUUCGGAAUUACUGGGCGUAAAGGGCUCGUAGGCGGCCAACUAAGUCAGACGUGAAAUCCCUCGGCUUAACCGGGGAACUGCGUCUGAUACUGGAUGGCUUGAGUUUGGGAGAGGGAUGCGGAAUUCCAGGUGUAGCGGUGAAAUGCGCAGAUAUCGGGAAGAACACCCGUGGCGAAGGCGGUUCGCUGGGACGGUACUGACGCUGAGACGCGAAAGCGUGGGGAGCGAACAGG